GACGAACGCUGGCGGCGUGCCUAAUACAUGCAAGUCGAACGCUUUUUCUUUCACCGGAGCUUGCUCCAUCGAAAGAAAAAAAGUGGCGAACGGGUGAGUAACACGUGGGUAACCUGCCCAUCAGAAGGGGAUAACACUUGGAAACAGGUGCUAAUACCGUAUAACACUAUUUUCCGCAUGGAAGAAAGUUGAAAGGCGCUUUUGCGUCACUGAUGGAUGGACCCGCGGUGCAUUAGCUAGUUGGUGAGGUAACGGCUCACCAAGGCAACGAUGCAUAGCCGACCUGGGAGGGUGAUCGGCCACACUGGGACUGAGACACGGCCCAGACUCCUACGGGAGGCAGCAGUAGGGAAUCUUCGGCAAUGGACGAAAGUCUGACCGAGCAACGCCGCGUGAGUGAAGAAGGUUUUCGGAUCGUAAAACUCUGUUGUUAGAGAAGAACAAGGAUGAGAGUAAAAUGUUCAUCCCUUGACGGUAUCUAACCAGAAAGCCACGGCUAACUACGUGCCAGCCGCCGCCGUAA
RNAcentral lists this ribosomal RNA (523 nucleotides) under uncultured bacterium. RNAcentral's name for it is "partial 16S ribosomal RNA". It matches the Rfam family "Bacterial small subunit ribosomal RNA", at positions 28 to 523 of the family's 1533-position model. The record is from RNAcentral.